RNAcentral lists this ribosomal RNA (440 nucleotides) under uncultured bacterium. RNAcentral describes it as "partial 16S ribosomal RNA". It matches the Rfam family "Bacterial small subunit ribosomal RNA", at positions 338 to 795 of the family's 1533-position model. The record is from RNAcentral.
CCUACGGGUGGCAGCAGUGGGGGAUAUUGCACAAUGGGGGAAACCCUGAUGCAGCGACGCCGCGUGAGUGAAGAAGUAAUUCGUUAUGUAAAGCUCUAUCAGCAGGGAAGAAAAUGACGGUACCUGUGUGAGAAGCCCCGGCGAAAUACGUGCCAGCAGCCGCGGUAAUACGGAGGGGGCAAGCGUUAUCCGGAUUUACUGGGGGUAUAGGGAGCGUAGACGGCAGUGCAAGUCUGAAGUGAAAGGCCGGGGCUCAACCCCCGGACUGCUCUGGAAACUGUACGGCUGGAGUGCAGGAGAGGUAAGUGGAAUUCCUAGUGUAGCGGUGAAAUGCGUAGAUAUUAGGAGGAACACCAGUGGCGAAGGCGGCUUACUGGACGGUAACUGACGUUGAGGCUCGAAAGCGUGGGGAGCAAACAGGAUUAGAUACCCGGGUAGUC